Molecule: non-coding RNA, 30 nt
Filed under: Mus musculus (house mouse)
Lineage: Eukaryota; Metazoa; Chordata; Mammalia; Rodentia; Muridae
Source: RNAcentral
UCACUCAAAGCUCUGUGCCUAGUAGUACCC